GAUGAACGCUGGCGGCGUGCCUAAUACAUGCAAGUCGAGCGAACAGACGAGGAGCUUGCUCCUCUGACGUUAGCGGCGGACGGGUGAGUAACACGUGGAUAACCUACCUAUAAGACUGGGAUAACUUCGGGAAACCGGAUCUAAUACCGGAUAAUAUAUUGAACCGCAUGGUUCAAUAGUGAAAGACGGUUUUGCUGUAACUUAUAGAUGGAUCCGCGCCGCAUUAGCUAGUUGGUAAGGUAACGGCUUACCAAGGCAACGAUGCGUAGCCGACCUGAGAGGGUGAUCGGCCACACUGGAACUGAGACACGGUCCAGACUCCUACGGGAGGCAGCAGUAGGUAAUCUUCCGCAAUGGGCGAAAGCCUGACGGAGCAACGCCGCGUGAGUGAUGAAGGUCUUCGGAUCGUAAACUCUGUUAUUAGGGAAGAACAAAUGUGUAAGUAACUAUGCACGUCUUGACGGUACCUAAUCAGAAAGCCACGGCUAACUACGUG
RNAcentral lists this ribosomal RNA (496 nucleotides) under uncultured bacterium. RNAcentral's name for it is "partial 16S ribosomal RNA". It matches the Rfam family "Bacterial small subunit ribosomal RNA", at positions 28 to 507 of the family's 1533-position model. The record is from RNAcentral.